Rhinichthys klamathensis goyatoka is the source of this 1311-nucleotide long non-coding RNA. RefSeq lists it as uncharacterized. NCBI's taxonomy places the organism in Eukaryota, Metazoa, Chordata, Actinopteri, Cypriniformes, Leuciscidae. The transcript has 2 exons. The record is from RefSeq and is a predicted model, not a curated record.
AACAUGUCAAAUUCUCCAUUUGAUUUGAAAUCCAGCUUGAUUUUUUUCCCACUUUCUUAAUCGGGGGCCGUAACUUUGCAUUCUACCUGAGAUGCAAACAUACUGUUUAUUGUACGUGAACCUGAGACAGGGCUUAAAUUAAACUGUCAAGUUCAAAUAAAAGAAAUCAACCAGUAACACUGUUGCACUAUCAAACAGGGGGCACUAAUAAAUCAAUGACAACAACAAACUACAAAACUGAAACCGAACCCAGUUCACAUCUCAAAACUAGUUGUUAUAUUUGGACAUUUUCAAUGAAACCUUUUUCGACUUGCUGUACAAGAAACGGAUGAUAAAUAUAGAUUACUGGCGUAACCACGUCUCCCCAUCGACCAUCUAUCUGAAGUCCUCAAACGCCUAGUAGAGUGGAUUAAACCACAUUAAUCACAUUUAAAACAGGUCUAACAUAACAAGUUGAACAAAAUGUACAUCGUCCCAGUCUAAAUACCACAAAUUAGUAUACUGAUGUCAUGUCUCUCACGUACGCAAAAGAGGAGAAGGGAUGUCUGAAAUCCUGUUCAGAAGCUGCCAGACCAAAGCUAAAUGAUGCUCACUAGUUAAGCACAAGCCACACAACUGUAUAUCUCAACUGCAACGGUAACCAUCAAGCUGCAAGACAUUCCCUCGGAUUUGUAUUCUAAGUAAAAACAAAAGCGUCCAAAGUGUUUCUCAUGGUUAAUGCACAUACUCUAAAAUGUCUCACAAACAAGAGUGUGUUUUCCCCCUCAACCUCGCCGUUUUAUUUACACACUGAGGUUGGUUUCAGCAGGGUCUAAACUAUGGCAUCUAACUUCACUUACACUACAGCGAGAGUCAUGAGGAAGUGAGAAGAAAUACUUCUCUUUAGGGAAAAGUACUUUAGACAGCUUAUCCACCUUAUAUUAUGUACCCUCAACGGGUGCUACGUUUGUAGCUAGGCUUCAGUGAAAUGUCUAAUGUGUUGGUUCACAGGAGCGAAGAGAGCUCCUUUUUGUUUAGCGUCAUGUGUUGACAACGACUGUAAAUAUAGGGGGAAAUCCACGUUAUCGGGUAAUUACAUCACAGACUGUUUUCCUAAAAUAUUUGGAAUGUUAUUAAAAGCUUUUUUCUUAUAAAGACGGUUUAUUUCACUUUCCAUUCAAACUAACCACAUUUCAAGCCCAGGACUGCUGAGCAUAAGCAGGAACCCGGAGGAGCAACUCACAGCAAUUAUAAACAAUAAAGCACACAUUGUUUACAAGAGGAAAUUAUCUUGCUGUGGUGCUUUUUCGCACCAUGUAGUCUAUGAUAUUU